Bos taurus (domestic cattle) is the source of this 72-nucleotide non-coding RNA. The record is from Rfam. NCBI's taxonomy places the organism in Eukaryota, Metazoa, Chordata, Mammalia, Artiodactyla, Bovidae.
UCCCUGGUAGCUCAGAUGGUAAAGCAUCUGCUUACAACGCGGGAGGCCCAGGUUCAAUCCCUGGGCUGAGAA